RNAcentral lists this ribosomal RNA (433 nucleotides) under uncultured bacterium. Its description in RNAcentral is "partial 16S ribosomal RNA". It matches the Rfam family "Bacterial small subunit ribosomal RNA", at positions 29 to 507 of the family's 1533-position model. The record is from RNAcentral.
AACGAACGCUGGCGGCAGGCCUAACACAUGCAAGUCGAGCGGACCUUUCGGGGUCAGCGGCGGACGGGUGAGUAACGCGUGGGAAUAUGCCCUUCUCUACGGAAUAGUCCUGGGAAACUGGGGGUAAUACCGUAUACGCCCUUUGGGGGAAAGAUUUAUCGGGGAAGGAUUAGCCCGCGUUGGAUUAGGUAGUUGGUGGGGUAAUGGCCUACCAAGCCGACGAUCCAUAGCUGGUUUGAGAGGAUGAUCAGCCACACUGGGACUGAGGCACGGCCCAGACUCCUACGGGAGGCAGCAGUGGGGAAUCUUAGACAAUGGGGGCAACCCUGAUCUAGCCAUGCCGCGUGAGUGAUGAAGGCCUUAGGGUUGUAAAGCUCUUUCAGCUGGGAAGAUAAUGACGGUACCAGCAGAAGAAGCCCCGGCUAACUCCGUG